This 615-nucleotide long non-coding RNA is filed under the name Musa acuminata (dwarf banana). Its description in RNAcentral is "long non-coding RNA (MACU_LNC005057)". Lineage: Eukaryota; Viridiplantae; Streptophyta; Magnoliopsida; Zingiberales; Musaceae. The record is from RNAcentral.
CAUCUUGUACCUAAAUUACAAGGUAGAUUAUUGUUUUCUUCAGAUGGGCAUAAAUGAUUUAGCAAACAAAAUCUAUAUGCCACAGAAGUCUGUCAAAAUCAUUACAAAUUUUGUGUGUUCAUAGUUUGACUUGAAUAAUAGAUCAACAGAAGCACUCCAAGGAUGGUCCCAAUGACUCACAAAGUUGAGUCACUUGGGUCCAUGGAUCAUUUUCCUUGUUUGUGGUCCUAAGCUGAGAUGAUGAUAUCAAAUACUACAAUAUAUCUAGCUUGUUUGCUUUGAUAAAGAAAUGGUGGACAAUCAAAUCUUUCUCCGUAGGAACUCGACAAGACCACUUCCAUACUCGUGUCAAUUCGAAGUCUAGCAUAAAGAUUGAAAUAAAAGUUUGAAUGAUACAUGCGCGACUUCAAUCCAUAUGCUGGAUUUGGAUGCUUGACUUAUAACUUGAUAAGAUAAGAUAAGAUGUAUUAAUGAUGAUGAUUGGGUACUAAUUAAAUAUUUAAAUAUUAAUAUUUAUGCAUAUUCAAAUCUUGGAUAUUGAUUUUGAUAAAAAUAAAUAUUUAAGAUUUUAUUUUUAAUCCUCCCUCCUCUCAUCGCAAAGCUGUAGUAUUUUAC